GGUUUCGUAGUGUAGUGGUUAUCACGUUCGCUUCACGCGAAAGGUUCCGGUUCGAUCCGGACGGAACAU
RNAcentral lists this transfer RNA (69 nucleotides) under Trichonephila clavata. RNAcentral describes it as "tRNA-Sup". It matches the Rfam family "tRNA". From Rfam's summary of the family: Transfer RNA (tRNA) molecules are approximately 80 nucleotides in length. Their secondary structure includes four short double-helical elements and three loops (D, anti-codon, and T loops). The record is from RNAcentral. Lineage: Eukaryota; Metazoa; Arthropoda; Arachnida; Araneae; Nephilidae.